UGAGUAACACGUGGAUAACCUACCUAUAAGACUGGGAUAACUUCGGGAAACCGGAGCUAAUACCGGAUAAUAUAUUGAACCGCAUGGUUCAAUAGUGAAAGACGGUUUUGCUGUCACUUAUAGAUGGAUCCGCGCUGCAUUAGCUAGUUGGUAAGGUAACGGCUUACCAAGGCAACGAUGCGUAGCCGACCUGAGAGGGUGAUCGGCCACACUGGAACUGAGACACGGUCCAGACUCCUACGGGAGGCAGCAGCC
Molecule: ribosomal RNA, 255 nt
Filed under: uncultured Staphylococcus sp.
Lineage: Bacteria; Bacillati; Bacillota; Bacilli; Caryophanales; Staphylococcaceae
Description: partial 16S ribosomal RNA
Rfam family: Bacterial small subunit ribosomal RNA
Source: RNAcentral